UGGUUCUGGCAUCGAUGAAGAACGCAGCGAAAUGCGAUAAGUAAUGUGAAUUGCAGAAUUCAGUGAAUCAUCGAAUCUUUGAACGCACAUUGCGCCCCUUGGUAUUCCGAGGGGCAUGCCUGUUCGAGCGUCAUUAUAACCACUCAAGCCUCGGCUUGGUCUUGGGGUUCGCGGUAUCGCGGCCCUUAAAAUCAGUGGCGGUGCCGUCUGGCUCUAAGCGUAGUAAUUCUCUCGCUAUAGGGUCCCGGCGGUUACCUGCCAGAACCCCCCCCUUUUUUUUUACGGUUGACCUCGGAUCAGGUAGGGAUACCCGCUGA
RNAcentral lists this unclassified non-coding RNA (317 nucleotides) under uncultured fungus. Its description in RNAcentral is "partial contains 5.8S ribosomal RNA and internal transcribed spacer 2". The stretch from base 1 to 133 matches the Rfam family "5.8S ribosomal RNA", at positions 22 to 154 of the family's 154-position model. The record is from RNAcentral. Lineage: Eukaryota; Fungi.